AGUAGUUUGAUCAUGGCUACAGAACGAACGCUGGCGGCAGGCCUAAAACAUGCAAGUCGAACGCCCUAGCAAUAGGGAGUGGCGCACGGGUGAGUAACAUGUGGGAAUAUGCCUUUUGGUACGGAACAACUUUUGGAAACGAAAGCUAAUACCGUAUGGUCCCUUCGGGGUAAAGAUUUAUCGCCAAAAGAGUAGCCCGCACUGGAUUAGCUAGUUGGUAAGGUAAUGGCUUACCAAGGCGACGAUCCAUAGCUGGUCUGAGAGGACGAUCAGCCACACUGGGACUGAGACACGGCCCAGACUCCUACGGGAGGCAGCAGUUAGGAAUAUUGGACAAUGGGCGCAAGCCUGAUCCAGCCAUGCCGCGUGAGUGAUGAAGGCCUUCGGGUUGUAAAGCUCUUUAGCCGACGAAUAUAAUGACUGUAGUCGGAAAAUAAGCCCCGGCUAACUUCGUG
This 455-nucleotide ribosomal RNA is filed under the name uncultured bacterium. RNAcentral's name for it is "bacterial SSU rRNA". It matches the Rfam family "Bacterial small subunit ribosomal RNA", at positions 1 to 507 of the family's 1533-position model. The record is from RNAcentral.